CUCCCACUAUAAUUAACAGGUACCAACUGUAUCUUUCGAAGAACUAAUCACGCAUCGUCAUAUUCCCCCGCUGUUUCAGGAAUAUAUACCAACCACAUUGAUUCCAAUGAUCAGUGUGAGCGAGAGAGUGUUCACGAGACUCUCCCUUCGGCUAUUUUGCUGCUAAGGACACCAAGUACCAAUACCAGGAGAAGCACAAGCAUACGAGAGAGCGUAGACCAUGGCAAGAAACUGGCGAAGACAUGGCAGCUUCACCAAGUAGCAGAAAUGUGCGUUCUCAACAAAACCAAACGGCCCAGCAACUUGAAAAUGCAACCAGGGAGUUGUAAUAUACGUACAGUAUGGAUAAAAU
Non-coding RNA from Paramuricea clavata, 352 nucleotides. NCBI's taxonomy places the organism in Eukaryota, Metazoa, Cnidaria, Anthozoa, Malacalcyonacea, Plexauridae. The record is from the annotation of a GenBank genome assembly.